AGACCUCAUUUAAGGAUUGGCUGUGGAAGCAAGAAUGUCUUGCCUGGAGAUCUUUGCCUACCCAAGGAUUGUGUGGGCCUUCCUAAGAGUGCCAGGGAAAUUUAACCUACCCAAGCAAGGGAAAUCUAAUCCCCAAGAUCUGUGCAGUGCACCUUUUUACCCAGACACCUAGCUGAAUUGCCAAGACCCACUUUCCAGUACUUCUCAACACACUUCAUUAAUCUGAGCUUGCGUCCUGGAAUUGUGGCU
This is a long non-coding RNA of Numida meleagris (helmeted guineafowl), 249 nucleotides long. RefSeq lists it as uncharacterized. The record is from RefSeq and is a predicted model, not a curated record. The transcript is spliced from 3 exons. NCBI's taxonomy places the organism in Eukaryota, Metazoa, Chordata, Aves, Galliformes, Numididae.